GUCAGGUCUGUGGUUGAAAAUCGAGGCCAGUCGCAGGCGAAACGAUCCACGUAACCCGGCAAAAUGUCGGUGAGCAUGGUGCGGUUUAGAGGUAAGCCCGCCCGGGAAACCGAGAGGAGCAGUAGUGGGGAGGCAGGAUGCCUUAUGAGCGAACCUUCCAGGCGGCGAGUGUGGGGGCAAAAACCAGGUCAGCUGGC
Molecule: non-coding RNA, 197 nt
Filed under: human gut metagenome
Description: raiA RNA
Rfam family: raiA RNA
Source: RNAcentral